GGGCGCAGCCCUAUCUAGGUCCACAGAUUCCAGUUUUGACCAAGCUUUCUUGGUGGUGCCUACAGAAAAGCAAAAAUCUCACUAUUAGCAAGGCUCAUUAGUCAUUUUGUGUUUCACAAGAAACUGGUUGGACCACUUUGACUUCAUCAGCUUUGACAAGUAUUCAGCUAUAGUAUACUGGAGUGUAUACUCCAGUGACUUGUUUUGCUUUCGCAAGACUUUGAGGGCUUUCCUCUUGGCUGCCAGCUCGUCAUCAACUUCUUGCUGUAUAUCUAUUGGUUACCUUUUCUUUGUCGGAGGACGACGAAUUGUCAUCAUUUGAGUCCCGAGACGACUCAUCAUCGUCAGCGACAGGCUCCUCAGUCACAGUCACAUCAGCAACAACAUCAGCAACCGGUGCAGAUAGUGACGACGAGGUGCUUCUUGACAAUGAAGUGUAUGACGAUGACGGGAGCAAAGAGAUAUCGUACGAAAACUAUCUCAAGAUAAGGAAAAAUGCGGAAUAGCUAGCGGAUACGAGGUAAGUUCUUUAGUUUAUCGAUAGUGUAGGAUUUGAACAAAUUGGAUUCAUUAAAAGAAAUAUCGUAUAUCGUUAUGAUUCAUUUACGUAAUAUAUAUUAAGAAUGUAUCGUUACAACAUUGAAAUGUCUGAUUGGGUGGUGAACCAUUAAGCAAUUACCAUAACAUUAAGCCAUGACUAUUAAGAAAAACGUUCACUAAAAAAUACAUUAUGGCAACUCAAUAGCAAAUCAAACUUCGUUCUACUACAAUAACAAUUUCAGCAAUCAUCAAUAUAUUUCUUUGGGAUUAAUUGUAGAAAUGUAUAACAAAAUAGUAUAAGAUGUCGAAAACGAAAGUGGGCCAUCCAUUUUUUCAUAAAAACUACGAAAACUACACCUCGUUUGACAAUGGAAUAAAGUGUCAGGAAUAUUUUCGUAAUUUACUACAACACAAAUAGUUCCGAAAAAUUACUCUUGCUUUUGAGUUUUUUCCCUGGAAAAGUCUUUUAAUAAACCGACCCACAUCUUCAUAUAUGAAAACGCAGAAUAUACCCAUGGAGCACCACAGUUUUUAGUUUCCUCAAAUACAUUAAAUGUGUAUUAACGCUAUAACUAAAAUGUUCUAGGCCUAAAGUUCUGGAUUUAAUGCAAUACCCUUAUUAGCUGCACAUUCUCAACUUGGCCUACUGUUGAGGUCUUUUGUACUAAUAAUAUCAUAGCACUUGCAAAAAGCAUCAACUGUUAAAAUACACUGAAGGAAGCAAUUUCUUUAAGGCAACUGCAGAGUGAAAAUGAGGAAAUUUCUGUAUUCAGUAGCUUUCCAGUCACCAAGGAAGGAUUUUUGAAUGUAAUACUAACAAGGUUGGCCGGGGUUCCUAACCAAAAAUUGAUGAACUGGGAAACCACACAAAAACACGCAUUGCAUAAUGUAUGCAAUCUAACCAGUGAUAACAGUUAGAAAAGACAAAAAAAAACUAUUUUCGUUACCUUUAUUAGCUGCACUGGUCAUGCCAAAAUGUUGAUUCUUGUGUUCUUUUCAGGCAUAGGAUACAAAAAGGGAAACAACAUCGCCCAUCCAGGACCCUUUUCGGCAGUUGCUCGCUUAAUCAAGUAAUAAACGCAUCCGUAAAAGCAUUGAACUGCUUGAUGUUUCACAGCAUUGCCCGGGCAGGUGCACAAACUAUUGCAAGAGGGAAAAUAAUUUUUGAUAAACGAGUGAUGCCAAUAUUCGAUGUUCAUU
RNAcentral lists this long non-coding RNA (1740 nucleotides) under Daphnia pulicaria. RNAcentral's name for it is "uncharacterized LOC124325895". The record is from RNAcentral. Lineage: Eukaryota; Metazoa; Arthropoda; Branchiopoda; Diplostraca; Daphniidae.